ACAUCUCUGCCUCUAUUUUUCAAAUUCUUCAAAUCUUUGAGGGCAUUUGAGAGUGCAACUAUUGCUGCUUCCUGCAGUGCUUUUUCUCUUGUCUCUUCAUAAGGUCUUGAUAUCUUAAAGCACAUAACAUCUUAUCUAUACCACUAACAAAGCAGUGCAAACCCAAAGAUUGCCAUCCCUGUGAAAAGCUGAUUAAACUUGAACAGCCAAAGGGCUUUCAAAUCAACACCAUCAAGAUAAUCAUCAAUAACAUAAUAGCUGGGAAAUUAAAAAAGCAUAAGAGUAAAUUUUAGGAAAGAAUCUGUUUUCUAGUGGAGAUGAUAUGGCAAGGGGAUUUAAAGAAGAUCAUUUCUGACAUAGGAGCUGCAUUGCUAACAGCACAUAAUGCGUCUUACAGGUAUGCAAAACAAUCAGGUGUCUGUGUGUGCUUUUGUAGGUAUUUGCAACUCAUUUAAUCCCUAGUUUUCCCAGAAGCAGGAAUUGGUUGCUGAGGCAAAUGCUGUCUACCCAAGAACGCAGCCUGACACAGGGACAGGCUGUGCCUCUGAUCUCUGCUGUAAUCCACGUCUCUUUCUGCACGAUGGUGCAUGAGCAAGCUGGUUUUUGGAAGCCCAUUGUCUGCACUUCUUACUCAGAGUAAGAGACAGUGGUUAUGUAUGAGCAGCAGAGGAAAGAGGGAAGUGAUGCUGAGGAUAGUGGAAAAAGCGUGUUCUCUGAUGUUGCAUAGACCAGCUGUUGUACAACUCCAUGCCGAGGCAUCAGAAGGAUAUCCUGGACAAAACGUUUUUAAAAUGAGCCUUUCUAAUGCAAGAUGUUGGGUUUAGUGGUCCUGACAGGGCAUUUUGGCUAUCUACUGAAAAUAGGCAGCAUUACAAGGGCCUGCAUUAGCCCACGCUCAAGAAAGUGCCUGAUGCCCCGUUCUGGCAAAGGUAGUUUUCAAAGUACCUCAGUUCAAUGUGUGACAGCAAGACUGAGCAGAGGCAGAUCAGCCACCAAGUUUUUGUUUCUGCUACCUGGAUAGCAGCAUGUGUGUGCAGAAACUAAAUCCAUGUUACAGAGAGAUUAGAAGAGUCUCUGCAAAGCCAUAAUGCCAUACACAAAUGGCCAGCUCAGCUAGAGGGGAGCAGAGACAAUUGCUAGUGGACCAUCUUUCCAAAACCUGUUGUGUCAUGUUUAUUUCCCAUCUUUUGUUCCAUUUAUGUGUUACUGCUUGCUCUUUGCAAUGCCAUCGUUUCAAGACAACAGCUCUUGGAUGCUAGCUGCUUGUGUGGUGCCUAUUGAACUGAUUCUGUUAAAGCCUUGAGCAAGCGUUAGUUAUAAUUUAGCUUUCUGUAAGAGUUUCAACCAUGCUAUUUGUGUAGAGUAGAAUUUGACAUUUUACCGCAAUCUCAAAAAAUUAUGUGGGUAACUCUCCUCCCUCUUUCCCUCUUCCUGACCUGUGGACUCUGCAUGGAGAAGGCUGUUUCCAACAGGCAUAAACAGUUAGGAAGGAUGUGUUAUUUGGGUGUGGGUCAUAUAGAAAAGUGGAGUCUUCUGUUCUUCCUUUGAAGCUGCAAAUAAAAUUAUUUCUUCUGCUAAGAAGAAAAUGUGCAGCAGACAUGUUAAGUGAAACUCCUGAUUUUUAUUGAAAAAUCAAAGCGAGGAGAAAAGAUGUGUGGCUCUUUAGCCACAUCUGCAAACAGUGAGGAAUGAAAGCCUUUACUUCACUCACAGCAUAUAUGUUUUAUUCUGUUUCAAUUUUAAAAUGUGUUUAUUGAGUAUAGGAGAAAAGAGGAGAAACAUAUCCAAAAGCUGCAUUUUUAAUGUUGAGCUUGAAACGCAGGGGAGGUUUAAUACGACACUAAUGACCACCAGGAGGAGCUCAUGACACAGCUUGCAGUGUUAAAUCCUUACCCUAAACUUGUAAGAAUUUCAAGAAAAACUUGAUGUCCCAGCCUGGUGUGGGCAGCCAUCCCCUUCAGGCUGUGCAUGCUGGCAUUUGACACAGAGCUGCAGGAACUGAACCGCAUCUGCACAAGGCAAAGCGACGCGACACGGCGGGCAGGUGGGACAAUUUGCCACGGGCAGAUUUUGGGGGUGAGAGAAUGGGGUGGCCCAUUAUGCUGCGAGCGGCCUCCUCUGUACAGGGAGUCACGGCCGCACGCCCUGCGUCUGAAACCUCUAUUUUCCCUUCAUAAAACCAGGGAGCUGGGGUGGAAUAAAGGCCAGCUGGCAGCCAGAAGGGGGGAGCGCUCACAUGGUGCCGUGCUUUUUAACGUUUUCCUAAAGCUCUUUAUGGGCCAGUCAGUAACUGCGCUCCGCUGGGUGAUGUGAAUGCUCUCAGCUGUCCCAGGGCUGCAGAACAAAUUUGUAAGUAAAAGACCAGCAGCUUUGUUGUGGAGGAGGUGGCUGAUUUCCGAGGGCACAGCCCCUCACCUUGCAGCUGCGAAGUUGCCUUCGUCCAGGACAAAGCAGGACAGAGGCCUCAACGCUGAAACUCCCGAGGAAAUUAUUUUAACAACUUUCUGCAAAACGUCGUCGUGAAUUGAGAAGAACCCACUGCCUGUCACAUCUGUUCUGCUCUGCAUCUAUUUUUGUACUUGCUGAAAAAUCCCGUAUUUUACAGUGCCUCGAGGCUAACCAGUUCCCAUCUCACUGAGGCAAGAGACCAACGUCUGUAACCCAGUGACUGUGGGCACCUUUCUUCUUGCUAAAAUAAAUUAAUACUGAGCAGACAGAGUCCUUUUAUCAUGGCCGGGUUCUUAUCAGACCAUCUCCUUUUAUAUUCCUUCCUUCCCCAGCCAUUGUGGAAACAGACAUCCUGCCCAAGGCAUCAAAACCCACAAUCUGCUGCCUCUUCUAUGGAGCCUCUGGAUUUGUGCCAGUAGCCCCUCGAGAUGGUCCCAGAUGUGGCUGCCUUUUUCUGUGCUGCCAUGAAAAUAUCCGGUAAAGACAAAGGGCUGCACUCACCACAGUUACCGCUUUGGAGGCCAGCACUUCCUCUGCUGUCAGGGCUGUACAGUGGGAGAUGUUAGUCAUGAUGUACCCCAGGGUAACCACGGCUGGAGUGGCAGGGUCGCAGUCAAAGGGGAUGUUCCUGCGAUAGAAAAGAGCCCAUCCUUUGGCUGCACCUCCCAGCUGUUCCUUGGGUUUGCCUCCAGUUCCCAUGAAGCCAGGAGAUGUGCAUGGGGUGCAGAUUCCUUGCACCUAAGUCUUGUGUGAAAGAGAGUUUGGGUUUUGAUGCUGCUUUUCACUAGAGAAAGGACUUCAAACGAUGUUAUAUUUAUUUCAAAGUGACUUGGACUCGAGGCAUUGGCUCUCCUGCUGCUUGUAAAACCAACAUGUUCCGACUGACUUUUUUGGGAGAAGUUUGGGGAGAGAGAAAGGCAGUGAAAUUACCAAGUCGUGGUUUUGGCUUGGGUUUGUGGUGGCUUCAAGAUGCUUCGGAAGGUUUGGUAGUUUUUGGUAGCGAUAUUGGAAACACUCUGUUACAGACUGUUACUGCAAGCAAUUGAAGAUGCCUGCGAGGAGUCAUGGGGAUGAAGCAAAUGUACCCUGCUGCCUGGUUUCCUUGGGUCUUCAUCCUGUGACCUUUUCCUUUCUUCUUGUAGCCUAGGCCUUCAAUGCUGCUUCCCUUCCUUGAUACCUGCUGCCUAAUUGCUAGGAUUCCUCUUGCCCGAGUGCACUUGUCUUCUCUGCCUUCGUAAGCAUUCGCUCGUGCAAUAAGACAUUUGGAAGGGUUUUUUUGCCAGUUCAUCAAUUUUUAGGCAUUGAGGGAGGACAGGUGAGAAUCCAAUGUGAUUUCAUGCAUGAAGCUGUGCUUUAACACUUAAAAGCUUUACGUCAGUGUCACUGCAAAGAAAAACUUCAAGUGCCGCUCCACUGGGAUCCACCUUGCAAUCUGUCUGCCUCUAAAACGAGGAGAUUGGAGGAAAGUGAUGAAUUGUUAGCCUUGAAAGUACUUUAUUGCUCUGUUAAAUUAGGUGAAACCUCUGCUCUGCAACUUAUUUUCCUGACAGAAACUAAUUUGAGGACAUCGAUGAUGCGCUUGUCCCUUGGAUUUCAAGUGUUUCCUGGCACAGUGUUCGUAGAGAAAAGCAGCUCGUCAGCGUUGCAGGUAAUGAGGUGGUGCAUGUGGGACAUCUCCUCACCAUGCUGCAGGUAAACCAGGCAGCUUCCCGAGGUCCAGCUCACCUCUCUCCUCAAGGCCAUGCAGUAGGCUUGCGUCAUGUCGGAGACGCGUGGACGUGUUCGAUACGACCUUCAUGUUUAUUUUUUUUUAUUUUUUUAUUUUUUUAUUUUUUCCAGAAAUUAAGAGGUGCAUCUCUGUGGCGUCUGUUCUGUUAAAUAUUGACUUUCUAUCAGCGGUGUUAGAGGGGAGGAACCUCCCUGCGAAAAUCAUCCUGGGGGUAUUUGCAGGACAAAUGGCCUGAGCACACCUUCAGCUUUUUUUCCCCAUCCAUUUUAGGUGAACUGGGACAGAGGUGCCUUGUGAAGCAUCUCUUCAUACGAGGCAGGUGCAUUGCUUUAACAAGAAAUGUCCUAACCCUGCAGACUGACAGCGGGCUUUCCUGAACAAAACACGCGGUGUCAGCACCAACCAGGAACACAGCCAGAACACAGCGCCCUCUGGAAGCAGGUGUCCUGGAAUAAAAGGCCAGAGGGUGGCUUGUAAAGGGUCAGUGAAUGAUGAAAGAGUCAGUGAAAGAGUCAGUCCAAAGCAUGAUGAAAUCUUUCAUGGGAGAGGAAAAAACAAGGACUAAAUAUGAUGGUCCCCAAAAAAACUGGUGAUAACACCCAAACAGCUGUGCAGCCAAGAAGGAUGUAAGCAUACUCAAGCUCUUUGCAAGCACCACGGUACACAAAACCUGCUUAUAACAAUUAUGUAUUAUAGAAUGUAUUUAUUUAUUUAUUUAUUUAUUUUUCACAUCAGAAGGAAGACUGUGCCUGGCCUGAUGUUUUGAGUAGCGCUGUAAAACGCUGUUAAUGCUGUUUCCAGGGUGAAAGCAGCCAGUGCUCCCCAGCUCCUGGUCUUUCCCUGUGCAUGUGGUUUGGUCCAUGCCCACCGAGCCUUUGAGUCUUCCUGUAACCAAAUAGUGUGAAGGGGGCUUAGCAUUGAUGGCUUAGAUGGCUUGGAUACUCUGAGCUGAGCUCUGUGUGUAGCAUCAGGUGCACUGUGUCCGCGGAGCUGCCAGCUAAGUUGAGUUUUUCUUUGUGCUCUUGUUUUGAAGACGUUAGUACUAAAGGCAAGCAUCAGUCUGAUAACUCCAAAAACUGAAACCUCUUUAUCCCCUAGGAAGGAAAGUAAACUAACUGCAAUCUGGCUUCUUUCAGGCUUCUUCUGCUUAAGCCCAGUGUGGGAACUGUACCCUGGCAGGCACGAGGGGUGUGUAGCCCACUGCCCACUUAUUCCUGAGCACUUCUGCUGAGACUUUCAGUGAGGAGCUCAAGCACGUGGCUGGUUUUGCUCCAUCUUUAAUAUGAUUUUACUCCCCAGACCCCAGCCCAGGAGAGACGUGCUGUUAUUGCUCGGUGCCAUGAGGUAACGCAGUGCUGCAGACAACAAAAGAAGCUGACUGCAGAGUGGGGACCUCUGCAUCUCCGGGUCCCCAGCUUGGCAACCUGGCCAUUGGCUCUGGUCCUUCCAGUUCUAGGAAAGAGGCUGACGCUAUUGACCCUGAACUAUUAUUUGCCUACUGUAAUACAGGGAAAUGAGGGCUAGAUGUGAGGAUCUGCGGCUUGCUGCCUUUCCCUCUCCUUCCCUGGAAGAGUUUUGCAAGAGCAACUGGGCACCACCAGGAUGUCUGUCCCCGUGGCUGGUAGCAACAUCCCUGCCCCGAGGGGGCCCUACCCUGCAAUACUCCACGCUGUCAUCUGCAGGCCUUGCGGGUGGAAACUACAUAGCUGGAGCUCCUGAUAUAGGGGCUAUGGAGGAACACCAGAUCUCCCUGAAUGUGCUUUAUGGUUGAGCAGCGAGGGCUGGGUGCACGCUGUGUGUCCCCGCAGACACGCAAGCUGCAUCGGUGUGGAGUGCAUGCAGAGGCCCCAAAUUUUGCAACACUCUUGCUCGUGCAGGACAGCACUCACGCACCGCUUGCUCCGCAGGGAGGAUCCUGCAAGCCAGCCAGCACUGCUGAGAGUGCCAGAGCAGUGAUCUGCUGCAGCCCCUCUGCAGGCUGACACCUCCAGGAGGCCGAGCACUGUGCCUGUUCCAUGACAUGGGGACCCACCUCCUGAGGGAACAGCCUGAAGCUGCUAAAAUUGUUUCUGGGAGGAGGUCUCAUCUGGAGAGUGAAAACAGCUUGCUACUUGGAGUGCUGUCUACAAAAGAACAAAGCUCUAAGGACCGUUCCCUACGCUGUGCCCCACAAGAGAGAUUAUUGAGCCAAGAUGUUGGCCUCAGGAAGCAUCCUACUAUGCUAGGCAGUUUCCAUGUGAAACAUCUUUUUUUUUCCCUAGGAUUUUUGUGCCCUAGCACCUGGUCAUCUCGGUGCUGGUCCUUUGGGGAAGAUGGGCAGGGAGGCAAGUGCCUGGGUUAUUUGCUUCUCCUAUUUGUAAGGGGAAUGGCAUUAGUUCAUUUCACAGGGAUGCUGGAGUACCUUUCCGACAGUCUUUAAUAGCUGGUGCUGUGGAAGAAGAGCUGAGCAUUGUAAUCAGGUGCAUGUCAGCCCCAUAUUUGUGUUUUGCACGUGUCACAGGUGACAUGAAAGGAAGAAAUGUUAAUGAAAGAGCCAAUUUUCCUGCACGGCUUUCAUGGAAAAUGAGUUCUGAUGCACAGAACUGUGUUUCGUAUGGCAGCUGAAUGAAAAAUUACAGAUACUUAGAAAAGUGAGAUGACAUCAUACGAUCUGUACAUCUUCUGAAAAUAAAUCAGAGCCACUAUGAUUAAAAUAUAUGCACUUGCAAUGGAUGCUUUGGCAGACUGGUUGUAAUAAAGAAUUUUAAAAUUGGAAUAGGUUAAAAAAUCAAGUAGGAAGGGGUUCUAAAACCGAGAGGAAUUUUUCUUCUUGAAAACCAGACUCAUUUUAGUCCAAUUUCUAGCUAGAGAAUGGAAGUGUGGAUUCAACACUUUUAGAUUCCCAAUUAAGAGAUCAUCACCACAUUAUCAGGAUGUCAGACACAUCACAUUCAUCAGUCUGUUUUCUAGAAAUUUUCACUCUUGUCCAAAGUACAGCUGGAAACGCCUAAAUAAAAUUAAAAGGGGAUAAGUGUCACCCAGGCCAAAAACUGUUUUCCUCUCAAGGCUUAAAGUAUUUUCAUUAAGAAAAAAAAAGGUGCUAGGACAUUUCAGUCUUUUCAUAGACAGCUCACAAGACUAAAUUUGUGAAACUCUUUAAAAAGAGGACCCACUGGAAAUGAUCCUUAUGCUUACACCUACAGCAAUCACCCUGGAUUUAUUACUACAUCUCAGGCUGCAAGCCUGAGCCUGAUUUAUUAGCUACCGUCCCUUUGGGUUUCUUAUCCAGGGCAGUAAAACAGCUGUAGAAAGCUGAAAAGAAGUCGAGCUGCACAUCUUGUCUUUUUAGCCUGUUUCUUGUGUUCAUUAUAGUCUAUAAACAAACAUCUUUCAGGUCUCCUAAAUAGAUUUUCUGAUCGAGUUCCCAGAACAGACCACCACCAGUCUCAUUAAAGCUUAUUUAUGCUACUUUCAUGCAUGAAUAAAAAAGCUCCCAUUCACUGCUGAUUUUAUUUAGUUAGAUCCUGUGCCUUGUAGUGGACAUUGAAUUGGUGUGACAUUUUUUGGCAUGGAAAAAGAAAAGUAGUGUGACUGCAGAGAACAGUUUGAUGCCUACAUCUUUUGCCGUAUGAAAAGGAAGGGGUUAACCUGUUCUUGGCUGUAUUGUAUUGAUUGAGGCCCAUGCAAAGA
Molecule: long non-coding RNA, 7846 nt
Organism: Anas platyrhynchos (mallard)
Lineage: Eukaryota; Metazoa; Chordata; Aves; Anseriformes; Anatidae
Source: RefSeq, a predicted model, not a curated record